This 472-nucleotide unclassified non-coding RNA is filed under the name Hevea brasiliensis (rubber tree). The record is from RNAcentral. Lineage: Eukaryota; Viridiplantae; Streptophyta; Magnoliopsida; Malpighiales; Euphorbiaceae.
CGAAAAGUCAUUUUGCCCUAUGAACUUGAAUUUGAACCUAUUUGUCCUUUUGAUUUAAAAAAAUGCACCAAUUUAACAAACAUUUGCCUAGUCAAUUAUUGUCAAAAUGAUUUUUAUUACUAUAUUAAUUGCUAUCAAAUAGCUUAAUUUUAUCAUUUCCAUUGCCUCAAUUUGCUGUCAAAUAUCUCAGCUUGCAACUUAAAUUGCAAACUUGCAUUUCCAAAUUUUGUCGUCAAAUUGAAUUUCUAGACUCGUUGUCAAACUAAAUUACAUUCAGGCACAAGCAAGCAAACCAAAAUAGUUUAUUUAAGUAACUUUACAAAAUAAGUACAUUUGCAUAUCAUAAGAUUCUUUUAUUCGUCUAAACAAAAUAGAUGUAUCUGCAUCUUUAUAUAAGUAACUUUACAUUAGUUAAGUUCAAUUACACAUUAACACUAAAGUCGAUUUUUGUUAAAUUGGUGCAAUUUUUUAA